AGAGUUUGAUUCUGGCUCAGAACGAACGCUGGCGGCGUGGAUUAGGCAUGCAAGUCGAACGGGAAACCAUUGAUCAACCCUUCGGGAGAGUGAUGUGGCGGAUAGUGGCGAAAGGGUGAGGAACACGUGGGCAACUUACCCUCAAGUUGGGAAUAACUCUCCGAAAGGAGGGCUAAUACCGAAUGUGGACAUAUUCUCGCAUGUGAAUAUGUCUAAAGGUGGGGAUCCUUCGGGACCUACCGCUUGAGGAGAGGCUCGCGUCCUAUCAGCUUGUUGGUGAGGUAACGGCCCACCAAGGCUUACGGGUAGCUGGUCUGAGAGGAUGGUCAGCCACACUGGGACUGAGACACUGCCCAGACUCCUACGGGAGGCUGCAGUCGAGGAUCAUUCGCAAUGCGCGAAAGCGUGACGAUGCGACGCCGCGUGGAGGAUGACGGCCUUCGGGUUGUAAACUCCUGUCAUUCGGGAGCAACGGUCACGGUGCCAAUACCAUCGUGAUUUGAUAGUACCGAAAGAGGAAGCCACGGCUAACUCUGUGCCAGCAGCCGCGGUAAUACAGAGGUGGCGAGCGUUGUUCGGAUUUACUGGGCGUAAAGGGUGCGUAGGUGGUUUCGUGUGUCGGAUGUGAAAUCUCACGGCUCACCCGUGAAACUGCAUUCGAAACUGCGAGACUAGAGUACUGGAGAGGAGAGCGGAAUUCCUGGUGUAGCGGUGAAAUGUGUAGAUAUCAGGAAGAACACCGGUGGCGAAGGCGGCUCUCUGGACAGAUACUGACACUGAGGCACGAAAGCUAGGGAGCAAACAGGAUUAGAUACCCUGGUAGUCCUAGCCGUAAACGGUGUGCACUUGGUGUGGGGGGAGUUGAUCCCCUCCGUGCUGGAGCUAACGCGUUAAGUGCACCGCCUGGGGAGUACGGCCGCAAGGCUAAAACUCAAAGAAAUUGACGGGGGCCCGCACAAGCGGAGGAGCAUGUGGCUUAAUUCGAUGCAACGCGAAGAACCUUACCAGGGCUUGACAUGUAGUUGCACGUCCGGUGAAAGCUGGAUUCUUUCGAAGGUACUACACAGGUGCUGCAUGGCUGUCGUCAGUUCGUGCCGUGAGGUGUUGGGUUAAGUCCCGCAACGAACGCAACCCUUGUGUCUAGUUGCCCCACCGGUGAUGAGCCGGUGAGCACUCUAGACAGACUGCCUGUGAUAAGCAGGAGGAAGGUGGGGAUGACGUCAAGUCCGUAUGGCCUUUAUGCCCUGGGCUGCACGUGCUACAAUGGCUGGUACAGAAGGAUGCAAUACCGCGAGGUGGAGCAAAUCCCCAAAACCAGCCCCAGUUCGGAUUGGAGUCUGCAACUCGACUCCAUGAAGUUGGAUUCGCUAGUAACGGCGUAUCAGCUACGGCGCCGUGAAUACGUUCCCGGGCCUUGUACACACCGCCCGUCACAUCAUGAAAGCCGUCUGCACCCGAAGUCGCUGAUCCAACCUCUCACGAGGAGGAAGGU
This 1492-nucleotide ribosomal RNA is filed under the name metagenome. RNAcentral's name for it is "bacterial SSU rRNA". It matches the Rfam family "Bacterial small subunit ribosomal RNA". The record is from RNAcentral.